RNAcentral lists this unclassified non-coding RNA (228 nucleotides) under air metagenome. RNAcentral's name for it is "partial contains small subunit ribosomal RNA, internal transcribed spacer 1, and 5.8S ribosomal RNA". The stretch from base 1 to 46 matches the Rfam family "Eukaryotic small subunit ribosomal RNA", at positions 1786 to 1831 of the family's 1831-position model. The record is from RNAcentral.
AAGUCGUAACAAGGUUUCCGUAGGUGAACCUGCGGAAGGAUCAUUAUCGAUUAAAAACGGGGGCGCUCGCGUCCCGUCAGUACCCUUUGCUUAUGUGUACCCUUUGUUGCUUCCUCGGUGGGGACGCCCGCCGGUGGAUAGCCCUUUUAAACCCUUUUGCAGUUGCAAUCAACUUCUGAUAUGAUAUAAAUUUAGUCACAACUUUCAACAACGGAUCUCUUGGUUCUG